This 492-nucleotide ribosomal RNA is filed under the name uncultured bacterium. RNAcentral's name for it is "partial 16S ribosomal RNA". It matches the Rfam family "Bacterial small subunit ribosomal RNA", at positions 30 to 507 of the family's 1533-position model. The record is from RNAcentral.
AUUGAACGCUGGCGGCAUGCUUUACACAUGCAAGUCGAACGGUAACAGGCCUUCGGGUGCUGACGAGUGGCGAACGGGUGAGUAAUGCAUCGGAACGUACCCAGAGGUGGGGGAUAACGCAGCGAAAGCUGUGCUAAUACCGCAUGUGAUCUGAGGAUGAAAGCGGGGGACCGAGCAGCAAUGUUUGGCCUCGCGCCUUUGGAGCGGACGAUGUCGGAUUAGCUAGUUGGUGGGGUAAAGGCCUACCAAGGCGACGAUCCGUAGCUGGUCUGAGAGGACGACCAGCCACACUGGGACUGAGACACGGCCCAGACUCCUACGGGAGGCAGCAGUGGGGAAUUUUGGACAAUGGGCGCAAGCCUGAUCCAGCAAUGCCGCGUGCGUGAAGAAGGCCUUCGGGUUGUAAACCGCUUUUGGCAGGAACGAAACGGUGUCCGCUAAUACCGGACGCUAAUGACGGUACCUGCAGAAUAAGCACCGGCUAACUACGUG